Molecule: long non-coding RNA, 820 nt
Organism: Bufo gargarizans (Asiatic toad)
Lineage: Eukaryota; Metazoa; Chordata; Amphibia; Anura; Bufonidae
Exons: 2
Source: RefSeq, a predicted model, not a curated record
CCAGGAAAAGCCACAGCGCGUGUCCAGUCGAAGCUUAGCUCCAUACACUAGGACUGCAUAGGGAGGCCUCGCCAUUCAGACGGUUUUGCCUCAGCAAAAUCCAUUGUGUGAACAUAACCUAAUGGAAAGAUUGGUACCUUUUCUGCAUUUUGGCUUAUAAACGCUGAUGACUUACCGUGGGAGGGUAGGUUCACAGAGUUUUCUGCAUAAGCCCCGUGUGAACCUCCCCUAGGAGCAGGGCUGAGGUAGGGCGCUCCCUACAGCCAGUCAGAACAUUCUACAAGCUUCGCCGUGUGGAGAGCACGGGCCGACACGUCACUCCAAAGACUCCGCCCCUACGCCAGGGACUCGGCCCCGCCUCCAUGCGAAGCGUGCGCAUGCGUCGUGCGGCCCUCGCGCCUGGCAGUGAGCGGAGUCAUGAUGGCGGCGGACAGGCCGUGCUGAUGAGACAGCGAAAUAACCGUCAUCUAGAGGAGCGCCUAUCCGGGCAUCUGCGUGCCGCCCGACACUAGGAUCAUACGGUAACGGAGCAGCCUUCGCUGCUACACAGGCGGGGAGACCGAGAUCGGAAGCCUAGCCUCCAGGAGACGCCACCUCGCGGCUGCAGAGCUCUACCAGGCCGGAACCUACAGGAGACAGCGGGACCGGGAGGGUCACACAGCGCAGCCGCCAUGCAGAUCACUAUGAAAACGCUGCAGCAGCUAACCUUCAAGAUAGAGAUCAGCAGCGAGGAGACGGUCAAAGCUUUAAAAGAGAAAAUUGAACAAGAGAAGGGGAAGGAUGCUUUUCCAGUUGCUGGACAAAAAUUAAUUUAUGCAGG